RNAcentral lists this ribosomal RNA (412 nucleotides) under uncultured bacterium. RNAcentral's name for it is "bacterial SSU rRNA". It matches the Rfam family "Bacterial small subunit ribosomal RNA", at positions 8 to 422 of the family's 1533-position model. The record is from RNAcentral.
AGAGUUUGAUCCUGGCUCAGAUUGAACGCUGGCGGCAUGCCUUACACAUGCAAGUCGAACGGCAGCACGGGAGCAAUCCUGGUGGCGAGUGGCGAACGGGUGAGUAAUGUAUCGGAACGUACCUUUCAGUGGGGGAUAACGUAGCGAAAGUUACGCUAAUACCGCAUAUUCUGUGAGCAGGAAAGCAGGGGAUCGCAAGACCUUGCGCUGAUUGAGCGGCCGAUAUCAGAUUAGCUGGUUGGUGAGGUAAAGGCUCACCAAGGCGACGAUCUGUAGCGGGUCUGAGAGGAUGAUCCGCCACACUGGAACUGAGACACGGUCCAGACUCCUACGGGAGGCAGCAGUGGGGAAUUUUGGACAAUGGGGGCAACCCUGAUCCAGCCAUGCCGCGUGAGUGAAGAAGGCCUUCGGG